AAUUACCUGGACAAAGCAAAACGAAAACGAGAACCUUUAAUCAAUCGUUCGAUUUCUUUUCUUCCUCGCUGUGAUACCUAUCUUCUUCUUUGGCUUCUUUAAACCAUCGACAGUGCUGCUGAUCCUAGCCAUGGCUCUCUCUACCAAUCUAAGCGGAUCUGAAGCUGAUGUUAGCGCCAUCGAUGGUGGAUCGGUUGUGAUGGAUUUCUUCUCCUUUUUUUCACCCUAACUGCGAUUUCUGAAACCGAAGAUUGAUAGAUAUAAUUCAAUGAGGAAGAAGCUCCCAACAUAACCAGUGACUACUCGCGUUUAAGGCUACGGGGGACUACCGACGGAAAACGCCGCACCCAAACCCAUCUUGAAGCUUGCAGUUUAGGUUCGUGAAUUGGUCUAUGAUGGCCGAAAACGCCGCCAUGUAUGUAAGCUCGACGAUUAAGGAAGUACGGCGGAGCAAAGGAUGUGUAGGCUGUGUGGAAGCUGAAAGGUGAGUCUGUUGUAAAUGUGAUUAAAUUUUCAGGAUUUUUGAUAUGAUUACAGGUUUGGCAAACAAGAAUACAGUGACCAUCAGGCAGCUGAUAAGGACCAAGUUAUCACUUGGAAACACCAUGACCAAGAGACAAAACAAGCCUAAGAUUUCUGUUAACAAGUCUGUCCUCAAGAAGGAGUUCCCGAGGAUAACAAAAUCUGUUGUCAAAAAGGAGAUCUGAGGCAGAAAGAUGAGUUCUCCGGUGAAAGAGGAUACUCGGAGAGUUUUCAUUCCCAAGGGAGAGCAUGCUGGUGGUGUCCUCUCAAAACGACAGGGGAUGGUCGCAGAACUUAGAUGACAUGAUUCUUGACUAUCUAAAGCAACCUGCUUGCACUGCAAGACAACAGGGGAUACACAUUGAUGAAAUUGCUCAGCAAUUGAAGAUCCCAAAGAACAAGCUAAAUAGAUUGAAUCAAGGAGUUGAAAGUUUUUAAAGAUUUUGAAAGUGUUUUAGAGAUGGAUGAGAGUAAUCAUGGAGGUUCAUCAAGUUCACUCCCACCUUUUCUUACAAAAACAUAUGAGAUGGUUGAUGAUUCUUCAUCGGAUUCGAUCGUCUCGUGGAGUCAGAGCAACAAGAGUUUCAUCGUUUGGAAUCCACCGGAGUUUUCUAGAGACCUUCUUCCGAGAUUCUUCAAGCACAAUAACUUCUUGAGUUUUAUCCGUCAGCUUAACACAUAUGUAAGUGUUGGUUGGUCUUUUGUGUUUUGUUUGUUUGAUUUUGAAUCAGUCAUCUUCUUUGGUUGGUUUAGUUUAGUUUGGGUUUUUGUAUUGUUUUGGGUUUAUGUUUAUUUCAGUUUUCUGUUAAAUAAUUGUAAUUCUUUAUUUAACUCUGCAAUUUUUGAAUACUUAUAUGUAAUUGUUUAUUUAAGUU
This is a non-coding RNA of Camelina sativa (false flax), 1397 nucleotides long. NCBI's taxonomy places the organism in Eukaryota, Viridiplantae, Streptophyta, Magnoliopsida, Brassicales, Brassicaceae. The record is from RefSeq and is a predicted model, not a curated record.